AUUGAACGCUGGCGGAAUGCUUUACACAUGCAAGUCGAACGGCAGCACGGACGUCGGUCUGGUGGCGAGUGGCGAACGGGUGAGUAAUGUAUCGGAACGUGCCCAGUCGUGGGGGAUAACGUAGUGAAAAUUACGCUAAUACCGCAUACGAUCUAUGGAUGAAAGCGGGGGAUCGCAAGACCUCGCGCGAUUGGAGCGGCCGAUAUCAGAUUAGGUAGUGGGUGGGGUAAAGGCCCACCAAGCCAACGAUCUGUAGCUGGUCUGAGAGGACGACCAGCCACACUGGAACGGAGACACGGUCCAGACUCCUACGGGAGGCAGCAGUGGGGAAUUUUGGACGAUGGGCGAAAGCCUGAUCCAGCCAUUCCGCGUGCAGGAUGAAGGCCCUCGGGUUGUAAACUGCUUUUGUACAGAACGAAAAGGUUUCUACUAAUACUAGGAGCUCAUGACGGUACUGUAAGAAUAAGCACCGGCUAACUACGUGCCAGCCGCCGCCGUAA
Molecule: ribosomal RNA, 500 nt
Filed under: uncultured bacterium
Lineage: Bacteria
Description: partial 16S ribosomal RNA
Rfam family: Bacterial small subunit ribosomal RNA
Source: RNAcentral